GACGAACGCUGGCGGCGUGCUUAACACAUGCAAGUCGAACGGCAAGGCCCUGCUUUUGUGGGGUGCUCGAGUGGCGAACGGGUGAGUAACACGUGAGUAACCUGCCCUUGACUUUGGGAUAACUUCAGGAAACUGGGGCUAAUACCGGAUAGGAGCUCCUGCUGCAUGGUGGGGGUUGGAAAGUUUCGGCGGUUGGGGAUGGACUCGCGGCUUAUCAGCUUGUUGGUGGGGUAGUGGCUUACCAAGGCUUUGACGGGUAGCCGGCCUGGGAGGGUGACCGGCGACAUUGGGACUGAGAUACGGCGCAGACUCCUACGGGAGGCAGCAGUGGGGAAUAUUGCACAAUGGGCGGAAGCCUGAUGCAGCAACGCCGCGUGCGGGAUGACGGCCUUCGGGUUGUAAACCGCUUUCGCCUGUGACGAAGCGUUAGUGACGGUAAUGGGUAAAGAAGCACCGGCUAACUACGUG
Molecule: ribosomal RNA, 468 nt
Filed under: uncultured bacterium
Lineage: Bacteria
Description: partial 16S ribosomal RNA
Rfam family: Bacterial small subunit ribosomal RNA
Source: RNAcentral